Molecule: ribosomal RNA, 254 nt
Filed under: uncultured bacterium
Lineage: Bacteria
Description: partial 16S ribosomal RNA
Rfam family: Bacterial small subunit ribosomal RNA
Source: RNAcentral
UACGGAGGGGGCUAGCGUUGUUCGGAAUUACUGGGCGUAAAGGGCUCGUAGGUGGCCAACUAAGUCAGACGUGAAAUCCCUCGGCUUAACCGGGGAACUGCGUCUGAUACUGGAUGGCUUGAGUUUGGGAGAGGGACGCGGAAUUCCAGGUGUAGCGGUGAAAUGCGUAGAUAUCUGGAGGAACACCGGUGGCGAAGGCGGCGUCCUGGACCAAUACUGACACUGAGUGAGCGAAAGCCAGGGGAGCAAACGGG